CAAAAUUGUCUUUCAUACUUUCAAUGUCGGAAGUUGUACCAAGCAUUUUGCUUAAAUGUCUUUUAUGUCUAUCAUAUUGGUUUUUUCGAAACUACACCAACUGGGGAUGCAGUGGUGCUAUGCAUAAUGUUCGAGCAGGUUAAGAAUCACAUGUUUAUGGUAUGAUUAAGCUUUUCUCAAUGCUAUUGUUGGCUUACAAAUAUAUGUGUUAUCAUUGCCUUGAAUAUAAAAUGUGAUGUGUACCAUGUCACAGUUAAAAUUUUUGCCUUCCACUUCGCACAGAAACCAAUUCUACUAACGUUCACUAACUUGUAGCUAAAAGAAUUCCCAAUAUUGUUGAGAUCAUUUGAAAUGUGUAGGUGAUGUCAAGUUUGCUAUGUUUCUAUUGUGUUUGUGGGCUGCUAAAGGAACAUUUUAUUUCUCGAUAGAACAUGCAAGGUUAUUUGGUAUUUGUUUUCAGUCUGCAGCUUCCCACUUAUCCAUCAUCUAUCAGUCUUUCUGGUUGACGAUAGUUAACAUAUUUUUAAAUUUUCUUCCAACUGUACCACGAAGUUCAUGGCACAUUCUAGAUCUCUCUUGGACCAAUGAAGUAAAAGUGUGUUAAUGUCAAUGAGGGAAAAAAUAAUCUAGAAUUUCAAUGAUGGGUCCUAAGGACACUUAAUAAUUCCACGCUCUCGUGGAAGUUUCUUACUUUUCACACCCCUAAUUAAAUGAUAACAAUUAUAGGAUUAACAAAAACCAAUUCAUCUAAAAAUCCAUUUCUGUACUGCUACGAAUAUGCAAGUAAAGGGUUUAUACUACAUUGAAUGAACAGUAGCUAAUGAUAAAGACAGAAAUAGGGUAUUUCCAGCUUGUUCAGUGCCUAGAAUAUAUUGUCACAAUUGCAAAAUUUAAACAUGCAUAUGUUCACUGGUGCAUUGAAUACAGUAGUGCUUGGACCAUCCCCAUCGCAGGUGAGCUUGCUUAAAUAUUCAUGGCUUGUUUGUUAUUGUUCAGUGCCAUAUAAAUACUUGAUGCACAUUUAUAUUUGAUUUUCCCCAGGACAUGACAUCCACACUUACAAGUUCUACAGUUGUUGCAAAUGUGCUACUUAAUGUCUACCAUGUCGUUGGAGGAAUAAUGACCAUGUCGUUGGAGGAAUAAUGCUUGUCAAGGUAACCCAUUUCGUACAUUACAGAGUACAUAGCUGGUUGGCUAUGUAAUGACCGCUAGGUGGUCCAGGUGGUUUAGUUUUUUGUCCAAUUACACCUUUCACAUUUACCCAUUAAUUCAAAAGAAAUGUGCCAUAGCCAUUAUGUAUGGCACAUUAUUGCAAUCAAACUUUCGUGCAAGGUUAGAAUCACAUGCAAUUCAAAGAUAUGUUUCAUCUUGUUUGUAAUACAUUUAGAUAUUUACAAUAUAAAUCUACCAUACGCUUAGGAUCACAUGCAAUUGCAGGCUAUCAUUGUUCUGUUCAUAAUUUAUGGCACAUUUAGGCAAUCGAACUUUCGUAUAAGCUUAGGAUCACAUGCAAUUCAAAGAUUUGAUUCGUCCCAUUUGUAAUGUCUUCUGAUUUAUGCAAUCUAAAUUUAACGUACGCUUUGGAUCACAUGCAAUUGAAAGAUAUGAUUGUUCGUGUUCGUAAUUUAUGGCAGAUUUAGGCAAUCGAAAUUUCGUAUAAGCUUAGGAUCACAUACAAUUCAAAGAUAUGAUUCUUCCUAUUUGUAAUGUAUUACGAUGUUUGCAUUCUAAAUUUACCAUAUGCUUGGAAUCACAUGCAGUUGAAAGAUAGGAUUUUUCGUGUUCUUAAUUUAUGGUAAUAGAUAUGCGGUUUUCGAACUUUUGUAUAAGCUUGGGAUCACAUGUCGUUCACAUAUACAAUUUACGAGUCAACUGCAUGUAACUAGUGGGUAUAUUCGGGCCCAAGUGCGUCACAUUAUGCACUUGAAAAUGAUAAUGUGUCAUUUUCCAUAACUUUUGGCAUAUUUCUAAUUGAAGGCAUUUAUUUGAACAUAGGUUGUAGAGAUAGGAGCUCGUUCAGACGAAGGUCGGCAAGUCGAAUGUCAUAUUUUAUGCACGUGCAUGAGAUGCAGCGCACACUGACAAAGCGUGGAAUUUUAUAUUUUUCCUUGCUGUGUAAAAUUUUUUCCCAGUUCAAACAUUUGAUGUGACAUUUAUUCAAACUGGAUGUGUACGCAUAUUCGAAAUUUAU
Molecule: long non-coding RNA, 2191 nt
Filed under: Olea europaea subsp. europaea
Lineage: Eukaryota; Viridiplantae; Streptophyta; Magnoliopsida; Lamiales; Oleaceae
Source: RNAcentral